RNAcentral lists this ribosomal RNA (778 nucleotides) under uncultured Neocallimastigales. RNAcentral describes it as "partial large subunit ribosomal RNA". It matches the Rfam family "Eukaryotic large subunit ribosomal RNA", at positions 23 to 643 of the family's 3401-position model. Lineage: Eukaryota; Fungi; Neocallimastigomycota; Neocallimastigomycetes; Neocallimastigales. The record is from RNAcentral.
AUAGAGACUCAGAGCUGCAUAUCAAUAAGCGGAGGAAAAGAAACUAACAAGGAUUCCCCUUAGUAACGGCGAGUGAAGCGGGAAGAGCUCAAAUUUGAAAUCUUCAAGGGUUCUACCUUGACGAAUUGUAGUUUAAAGAAGUGUUUUCUGUUAGAGAGGUGGUAAAAGUUCUUUGGAAUAGGACAUCAUAGAGGGUGAGAAUCCCGUAUUUGAUCACUUUCUACUAACGUUGUGAUACACUUUCAAAGAGUCGGAUUGUUUGGGAAUGCAGUCCAAAAUGGGUGGUAAAUUUCAUCUAAAGCUAAAUAUUGGCGAGAGACCGAUAGCGAACAAGUACCGUGAGGGAAAGAUGAAAAGAACUUUGAAAAGAGAGUUAAACAGUACGUGAAAUUGUCAAAAGGGAAGCGUUUGACACCAGUGUUGUUUUUCCGAAAAUCAAUUACGAAUGUUUUGUUUUUAAGAAGUUAUGACUUCAUCGGCUUGCUUCUUUCUUUACGAAACUUUCUUAAUGCACUUUUCGGUUAACAAGUCAACAUCAAUUUCUUUUGUUGUAAAAGGGUAAUGAGGAAGGUGGCUUUACUUUCGGGUAAAGUGUUUAUAGCCUUUUACCUCUGCAAUCGGAGAGAUUGAGGUCUGCAGCGUAGAUCCUUCGGGGUUAGAUACGUUUGUGCUAAGUUAUAGCUUUGCAUAGACAACUUGUUGACUAUGUUUAGUCUUGUAGCUUACUCGCUGACGCUAUUUUACCUACGCUUAGGAUGUUGAUAUGCAUGACUGAUAU